UACGAGGGGGGCGAGCGUUGUUCGGAAUUAUUGGGCGUAAAGGGUGCGUAGGCGGUUUGGUAAGUCUGAUGUGAAAUCUAUGGGCUCAACUCAUAGUCUGCAUCGGAAACUGCCGGGCUUGAGUGUGGGAGAGGUGAGUGGAAUUCCGAGUGUAGAGGUGAAAUUCGUAGAUAUUCGGAAGAACACCAGUGGCGAAGGCGACUCGCUGGACAGGUAUUGACGCUGAGGUGCGAAAGCGUGGGGAGCGAACAGG
RNAcentral lists this ribosomal RNA (253 nucleotides) under uncultured bacterium. RNAcentral describes it as "partial 16S ribosomal RNA". It matches the Rfam family "Bacterial small subunit ribosomal RNA", at positions 524 to 776 of the family's 1533-position model. The record is from RNAcentral.